Molecule: non-coding RNA, 21 nt
Filed under: Arabidopsis thaliana (thale cress)
Lineage: Eukaryota; Viridiplantae; Streptophyta; Magnoliopsida; Brassicales; Brassicaceae
Source: RNAcentral
UGCACCGUAAGCCCUAACAGC